Long non-coding RNA from Ctenopharyngodon idella (grass carp), 2620 nucleotides. RefSeq lists it as uncharacterized. The transcript has 3 exons. The record is from RefSeq and is a predicted model, not a curated record. NCBI's taxonomy places the organism in Eukaryota, Metazoa, Chordata, Actinopteri, Cypriniformes, Xenocyprididae.
UGCAUGGUUUAUUUAUUGCAGUGGAGUUCAGCUACCUGCUUUCCACCACGACAGGAAACAUGCAGGCGAUUCAUGAACGCACCCACCAUGACAGAUAAAUGGACAAAUGGACCCUGUUGAGAUCAGUUAUAUUGCAAAAGUGUAAAGAUGUGAUGAAUGUCUAGCUGACCUGCAGAGAAUGGGCAGAUACUGUGGGCAAAGCCGGUGGACAGAGCACAGAGGCAGGCUGGGUAAAGCGUCCAGCAGAGGAACUGCAGCAGGUGGUGACCCUUCAGACAACCGUACAGCCAUUGCGACAUCUCUUCUCUUCUCUGAUGAUGUGUUUGCUGGUGCGAGGGCGGGACAACCGGUCACUCACAUGAGAUUACAGCAGCAAACCACAAUGAUUUAAUCAAUUCCUGAUGGACAAACUACAUUUUUUCUUGUUCGAGAAGUCAUUUCAGUUGGAUAUAAAUCACAAUAUUGAAGAAAAGGCUAUUGCAACUUCUGUUUCAUGCCAACUUCAAAGCAAUUUUACAUUUCAUAAAAAAUGAUACAUGAUACUACCUCUGAUAUGAGCUCUUCAGACACAUGAGCUUAUAAACACUCUUUUCACACCAGCCCACUGUUUCUCCAUACUCUGUUGGUGGCAAGGAUUUGCAUGCUAUAUGUAAUUACCACGGAGAGAUUCAUUUGCCUGGGGAAAUUUGUUGCCUGGGUAAAUGUUUGUAAUGCGAUUGUAAGUAAAAGCACAGAUAGGCAAAUGUGACGCUGGAGUUUGUAACUAAUUUUUCGGUCUUCAUUAGAUAUUUGCUCCCGCAACGAAAAUAACUGCAAAUGAAGCAGCAGCAGAACAGUGAUGUUUUAGUUUCUGAAUCUGUUUUUAAAGGGGACCUAUACCCCUUUUCACAAGAUGUAAUAUAAGUCUCUGGUGUCCCCAGAAUGUGAAUUUUCAUCUCAAAAUACCCUACAGCUCGCGCUUCGGUUGCUCAAAAACAACAAUGCUGGAGAAUCUCAUGCAGCCAAAAUGACGAUUGUCAGUAAUGGUGUUCAGCCUUACAUUGUUCAAACCGGAGUCGGACACUGAUGGAGAGACUCAGGAAGAAGUUACAACUUUUAGAAUGCAUCUGGAUGUUUCUGAAGGGUUAGUAGAUAAAUUUAUGUAGUUGCUGUGGAGUUAAUUCAACUCAUCGACUAGCAUAUGCCGUCAUGUUAAUUUUCUGUACAAAUCCAGCGUUGAAUUGACCCUCGUUUGUGAAGCAGUCCGGUCCGGUGUAAAAUGACAUCACUUUAGUAGUCUAAGCUGUUUUGUGGGUGAAUCAUAAGUAACACUGACACAUUUCUGUCAAACACAACUUCUGUUUGUGCUAGCAUAAACCAGGGCCCCCAAUUCCCCCCCAGUGUUCAAGACAUAAAGUAAUGGCAUAAAGUAAUAGAGCAUAUGGAGGCUUAGCUAUGCCAUAGAAAUAUACAGAGCUGGCCAAUCAAAUCAAAGAAGGCGGGGCUUACUGUUAACAAGACGAGUGUGAAUUCCAAUUCAGUGCUUUAGUUUUAGCAGUGAAAUAGUACGUGGCGAGUAAGUAGCUAAACAUUUAAUAUUUGACGACUGUUUUAUGAUUGAAAUAAUCAGCGACCGACAGUAAUAUCCAGUGAUGCAAACUACUCAACAUUUUUGUGAAAUUUCACCAUUUUUAAUUGAUAACAUGCUAUUAUUUGAUUAAUAUGAUAUUAAUGUAAUUCAUAACUGAAUGUGACGAGACAAGAAACGUUUUGUGUUUUUAACAUAUUAGACAUACAAAUAAGAGUGAAUAUAUAUAUAUAUAUAUAUAUAUAUUUAAAAAAUAUAUAUAUAUUAUUUGCAAAUAGUUUAAAUUGAUUACUUAAUAAGUACAAUAGACCUGGAACUUUUUUUAGCGUUCUUAUGUCUUUUUCGUUAUUCCUUUAAAUCCCUUUUAAUCUUUUAAUUAUUUAAUAACUUUUAAUAAAAAAAAAAAAAAAACCCAAUAACACAAUAAAUAAAAUGAGAGAGACUCAGGAAGAAGUUACAACUUUUAGAAUGCAUCUGGACGUUUCUGAAUGGUUAGUGGAUAAAUUUAUGUAGUUGCUGUGGAGUUGAUUAAACUCAUCGACUAGCAUGUGGCGUCAUGUUAAUCUUUUGCGCAAAUCCAGCAUUGAAUUGACCCUCGUUUGUGAAGCAUUUGUGUAAAAUGACAUCACUUUAGUAGUCUAAGCUGUUUUGUGGGUGAAUCGUAAGUAACACUGACACAUUUCUGUCAAACACAACUUCUGUUUGUGCUAGCAUAAACCAGGGCCGUAACCAUAGACAUUGAAGGGGACAAUUACCCCCCAAUGUUCAAGACAUGGUUACGGCCUUGGCAUAAAGUAAUAGAGCAUAUGGAGGCUUAGCAAUGCCAUAGAAAUAUACAGAGCUACCGCAAAAACGUAAGUUCAAACACAAAAUUCUAAAGACAUACAAUAAUUUGAACUCAAAUCAUUGUUUCAUGUCAGUGCAUUUAUUUCUUUGGCGAGUAGCCGUGUGAGAAGCGGGGUACGUUGCUAAUAGCGACAAAACUGAAAUAUAGCAAAGGAUUUAAUGUCAAACUAAAGUCAUUUGAAAACUGAAAUAUAAAGUUUAAAGAGA